GACGAACCGUCCAAACGUUAUUCGGUAUCACUGGGCUUAAAGCGUGCGUAGGCGGCCUGGUAGGUGAGAUGUGAAAGCCCACGGCUCAACCGUGGAAUUGCGUUUUCAAACUACCUGGCUUGAGGGAGAUAGAGGUGAGCGGAACUGAUGGUGGAGCGGUGAAAUGCGUUGAUAUCAUCAGGAACACCUGUGGCGAAAGCAGCUCACUGGGUCUUUUCUGACGCUGAGGCACGAAAGCGUGGGGAGCAAACAGGAUUAGACUA
This 263-nucleotide ribosomal RNA is filed under the name uncultured prokaryote. Its description in RNAcentral is "partial 16S ribosomal RNA". It matches the Rfam family "Bacterial small subunit ribosomal RNA", at positions 524 to 785 of the family's 1533-position model. The record is from RNAcentral.